RNAcentral lists this ribosomal RNA (332 nucleotides) under uncultured eukaryote. RNAcentral describes it as "partial 18S ribosomal RNA". It matches the Rfam family "Eukaryotic small subunit ribosomal RNA", at positions 1470 to 1796 of the family's 1831-position model. The record is from RNAcentral.
CCCUUAGAUGUUCUGGGCUGCACCCGUGCUACACUGGCAGGUUCAGCGAGCUUCAUGCCCUGAUCUGAAAGGAAUGGGAAAUCUUUUCAAAACCUGCCGUGCUUGGGAUAGAUGUUUGCAAUUAUUCAUCUUCAACGAGGAUUGCCUUGUAAGCGCACGUCAUCAGCGUGCAUUGAAUACGACCCUGUAUUCUGUACACACCGCCCGUCGCUCCUACCGAUUGAAGUUUUCGGUGAGUUGACGGGAGGAUUUUUUUGAAACUGGUUCGCCAGUGGAUUUUAGAUCCAAAUGCCAACGAAUCGAUGGCUUUAGAGGAAGGAGAAGUCGUAACA